RNAcentral lists this unclassified non-coding RNA (212 nucleotides) under plant metagenome. RNAcentral's name for it is "partial contains small subunit ribosomal RNA, internal transcribed spacer 1, and 5.8S ribosomal RNA". The record is from RNAcentral.
UUUCCGUUGGUGAACCUGCGGAAGGAUCAUUAAUAAUAAGUGAUUUACGGCACUUUGUUCAUCCAUAUCCACCUUGGCUGUUAUGUCAGGGUUGCUUUUUCUCUCGAGAGGAUCAACCCCAAACAUCAUCUAUAUCUCAACUCUUUGUCUGUAAACUAUUAUGCUUAUUACAAUUCAUAAUACAACUUUCAACAACGGAUCUCUUGGCUCUG